AGCUCUGGGAGAGGAGCCCCAGCCCCGGCAUUCCCAGGUGUCCCCAUUCGGUGAUCAGGUCUGAACACAGAGACUCACCAUGGAGUCUGGGCUCAGCUGGGUUUUCCUUGUUGCUCUGUUACAAGGUGUCCAGUGUGAGGUGCAGCUGGUGGAGUCUGGAGGAGGCUUGGUCCAGCCUGGGGGGUCCCUGACAUUCUCCUGUGCAGCCUCCGGAUUCACCUUCAGUAGCUACAACAUGCACUGGGUCCGCCAGGCUCCAGGGAAGGGGUUGGAGUGGGUCUCAUACAUUAGUAAUACUGGUGGUAGCACAUACUACGCAGAAGCCGUGAAGGGCCGAUUCACCAUCUCCAGAGACAACAGCAAGAACACGCUGUCUCUGCAAAUGAACAGUCUGAGAGCCGAGGACACGGCCGUGUACUACUGUGCGGAAGCAGGAAGGCAGAGGCUGUGCUACUGGUACCUCGAUCACUGGGGCAAAGGCACCGUGGUCACCGUCUCCUCCGCCAAAACCACGGCCCCGUCAGUCUUCCCCCUGGUGCCCGGCAACAAGGGCACAUCCGGCUCCACGGUGGCCCUGGGCUGCCUGGUCAAGAACUACUUCCCCGAGCCGGUGAAGGUGACGUGGAACUCGGGCUCCCUGACCAGCGGCGUGCACACCUUCCCGGCCGCCCGGCUGUCCUCGGGGCUCUACUCCCUCAGCAGCAUGGUGACCGUGCCCGCCAGCAGCUGGCCCAGCCAGACCUACACCUGCAACGUAGCCCACCCGGCCAGCAGCACCAAGGUGGACAAGACCGUUGGUGAGAGGACGGCGAGGGAGGGGUAGCGGCCCCAGCCCAGGGCAGCGGGAGCCCCCAUGCCUUGCCCCCAGCCCAAGGAGCGGGAACCAGGGCCCAGGAGGAGCCCCCAAGUCCGAGGACGGGCCCCGCCUGGGCGCUGACCCGCCUGCCCUGUCUCUGCCUCACCAGCUUGUGAAGUCCUGGGGGGCCCGUCCGUCUUCAUCUUCCCCCCGAAGCCCAAGGACACCCUCAUGAUCUCGCUGACCCCCAAGGUCACGUGCGUGGUGGUGGACGUCAGCCAGGACGAGCCUGAUGUCCAGUUCACCUGGUACGUGGACAACGCGGAGGUGCGCACGGCCCAGACGCAGCCGCGGGAGGAGCAGCACAACAGCACGUACCGCGUGGUCAGUGUCCUCCCCAUCCUGCACCAGGACUGGCUGAAGGGCAAGGAGUUCAAGUGCAAGGUCAACAACAAAGCCCUCCCAGCCCCGGUCCAGAAAACCAUCUCCAAAGCCAAAGGGCCGGUCCGCGAGCCGAAGGUGUACACCAUGCCCCCGCCGCGGGAGGAGUUGAACCAGAACCAGGUCAGCUUGACCUGCAUGGUCAAUGGCUUCUACCCCGAAGACAUCGUGGUCGAGUGGGAGAGCAACGGGCAGCCACAGAGCAACUACAAGACCACCCCGGCCGUGCUGGACUCGGACGGGUCCUUCUUCCUCUACAGCAAGCUCACCGUGGCCAAGAGCGCCUGGAACGGGGGGACCACCUACACCUGCUCCGUGAUGCACGAGGGCCUGCACAACCACUACACCCAGAAGUCCCUCUCCGUGUCUCCGGAGCUGCAGGCGGACGAGAGCUGUGCCGAGGCCCAGGACGGGGAGCUGGACGGGCUCUGGACAACCAUCGCCAUCUUCAUCACCCUCUUCCUGCUCAGCGUGUGCUACAGCGCCACCGUCACCCUCUUCAAGGUGAAGUGGAUCUUCUCCUCGGUGGUGGACCUGAAGCGGACGAUCGCCCCCGACUACAGGAACAUGAUUGGGCAGGGGGCCUAGCACCACCCUCUGCGUGGGUGUCCAGGGCCGCCCAGACCCC
Propithecus coquereli (Coquerel's sifaka) is the source of this 1865-nucleotide non-coding RNA. NCBI's taxonomy places the organism in Eukaryota, Metazoa, Chordata, Mammalia, Primates, Indriidae. The record is from the annotation of a RefSeq genome assembly.